RNAcentral lists this long non-coding RNA (809 nucleotides) under Gallus gallus (chicken). RNAcentral describes it as "long non-coding RNA NONGGAT008860". Lineage: Eukaryota; Metazoa; Chordata; Aves; Galliformes; Phasianidae. The record is from RNAcentral.
CUCAACAGAGAGAUGAGGAAGCAGUGUGAGCAACUUGGCAGAGUGUAAAAAAAGGAAAGAGAGGAUUUCAGUGCCUAUGGAAAUACUAACUUUAUUAUGAAACAGAAAAGGAAGGAAAAGCAAUAGCUGCAUUGCACUCACAAACAUUAUUGCAAUGGACUGUGAUCAGAACCAGCCUGGUAAAUCUGCACUACCCAGGAGACAAUGAAGAACUUCAUGUCCAAGAAUUAUUACCUGAAUACGUCUUGGUUAUAAUAAAUGGCAAAGAUUCUUGGUUCUCACUUCAGCAAUUUAUAUACCAGUUAGCAUUACUGCAGCAGAUCUAACAAAUAAAUUGUGCCAUUCACAAACAGAUCACAUCACACUGAGUGCUGGAGCUUCUCUUGCAUGGGCAAAUUCUUGCAUGCCUGCAGAUGAGAUGGAGAGGAGCAUGAAGCUAACAGGAUUACAAGGAUCAGCAGAUACAGCAUUGCCUCUCCAGCCUUCCAAAGGCAUUCUCCAGCUUCAGAGAGUCACAAGGCUAGUAUCAAAGGAACAGGAUUAAAACAACGAUCUCGUUAAGUUCCCAAAUGGCAGGGUAACAUUAUGGCCAGCAACUCUGGCAGUAGGAACUGAGAGAGAAGGAAGAGAAGAAUAGGGAAACUGUUCAUCACAGGUCUGUGGAUAAAUUAUUUCAAAGUUAAGGUAAGGUGCAGUCUCUUUUUUCUGGUGAGGUUAUUGGUUUCACAGGACUUUUCUAUGUAAGUCUUUAUGGUGUCCAGACUGUUCAUCCUUCUCUAUCACCAGAACAUCUAGAGCAGUACUCCAGA